GGGGGGGGGGGGGGGGGGGCCGGGCGGAGGCGGGGCGGGCGGGGGAGGGGGGCGGGCGCCUGGAGGCAGCGGCGGGCGGGGGAGUAAUGCCUAGGAAUCUGCCUGGGAGUGGGGGAUAACGUCCGGAAACGGGCGCUAAUACCGCAUACGUCCUGAGGGAGAAAGGGGGGGAUCUUCGGACCUCACGCUAUCAGAUGAGCCUAGGUCGGAUUAGCUAGUUGGUGGGGUAAAGGCCUACCAAGGCGACGAUCCGUAACUGGUCUGAGAGGAUGAUCAGUCACACUGGAACUGAGACACGGUCCAGACUCCUACGGGAGGCAGCAGUGGGGAAUAUUGGACAAUGGGCGAAAGCCUGAUCCAGCCAUGCCGCGUGUGUGAAGAAGGUCUUCGGAUUGUAAAGCACUUUAAGUUGGGAGGAAGGGCAGUAAGUUAAUACCUUGCUGUUUUGACGUUACCAACAGAAUAAGCACCGGCUAACUUCGUG
Molecule: ribosomal RNA, 484 nt
Filed under: uncultured bacterium
Lineage: Bacteria
Description: partial 16S ribosomal RNA
Rfam family: Bacterial small subunit ribosomal RNA
Source: RNAcentral